This is a non-coding RNA of Pelobates cultripes (western spadefoot toad), 201 nucleotides long. NCBI's taxonomy places the organism in Eukaryota, Metazoa, Chordata, Amphibia, Anura, Pelobatidae. The record is from the annotation of a GenBank genome assembly.
GGGUUCCCCGCUCUGACCGCCCUGAGCUACGAACCACAUGCCCGGCCAUUCUGAAUUCAAUACGAGUUUGGAACGCAACGGCUCAUAAAUACGCCCUCACGCACCCCGUCUCACCUCUGACACUGUACCUCCGAAAUAAAGCCUUUCCCCCGGGCAUGGCCCCGCAGGAUUUCCGCGGCCUUGAGGACGCAGGCCUGCAGC